UGGCUCAGGACGAACGCUGGCGGCGUGCUUAACACAUGCAAGUCGAACGGAAAGGCCUCUUUCGGGGGGUACUCGAGUGGCGAACGGGUGAGUAACACGUGAGUAACCUGCCCUUGACUUUGGGAUAACUUCAGGAAACUGGGGCUAAUACCGGAUAGGAGCUCCUGCUGCAUGGUGGGGGUUGGAAAGUUUCGGCGGUUGGGGAUGGACUCGCGGCUUAUCAGCUUGUUGGUGGGGUAGUGGCUUACCAAGGCUUUGACGGGUAGCCGGCCUGAGAGGGUGACCGGCCACAUUGGGACUGAGAUACGGCCCAGACUCCUACGGGAGGCAGCAGUGGGGAAUAUUGCACAAUGGGUGGAAGCCUGAUGCAGCAACGCCGUGUGCGGGAUGACGGCCUUCGGGUUGUAAACCGCUUUCGCUCAUGACGAAGCUUUGUGUGACGGUAGUGGGUAAAGAAGCACCGGCUAACUACGUG
Molecule: ribosomal RNA, 475 nt
Filed under: uncultured bacterium
Lineage: Bacteria
Description: bacterial SSU rRNA
Rfam family: Bacterial small subunit ribosomal RNA
Source: RNAcentral